ACGGGGUGCAGCAGGCGCGAAAACUUUACAAUGCGGGCAACCGUGAUAAGGGAAUCUCGAGUGCCUGUAUAUGCAGGCUGUCUGGGUGUCUAAAACACACCUAAAGAAAGGGCCGGGCAAGACCGGUGCCAGCCGCCGCGGUAAUACCGGCAGCUCAAGUGGUAGCCGCGAUUAUUGGGCCUAAAGCGUUCGUAGCCGGAUAAGUAAGUCUUUGGUUAAAUCCUGCGACUUAACCGUGGGAAAUCUAGAGAUACUGCUUGUCUUGAGACCGGGAGAGGUUGGAGGUACUCCCAGGGUAGGGGUGAAAUCCUGUAAUCCUGGGGGGACCACCUGUGGCGAAGGCGUCCAACUGGAACGGGUCUGACGGUGUGGGACGAAACCUAGGGGAGCGAGCCGGAUUAGAUACCCGGGUAGUCCUAGGCGUAAAUGAUGCGAGUUAAGUGUGGGGGCAUCCACGAGAUGGCCCUGUGCUGUAGGGUAGCCGUUAAACUCGCCGCCUGGGGAGUACGGUCGCAAGGCUGAAACUUAAAGGAAUUGGCGGGGGAGCAC
This 549-nucleotide ribosomal RNA is filed under the name uncultured archaeon. RNAcentral's name for it is "bacterial SSU rRNA". It matches the Rfam family "Archaeal small subunit ribosomal RNA", at positions 325 to 879 of the family's 1478-position model. The record is from RNAcentral.